RNAcentral lists this ribosomal RNA (426 nucleotides) under uncultured bacterium. RNAcentral's name for it is "bacterial SSU rRNA". It matches the Rfam family "Bacterial small subunit ribosomal RNA", at positions 355 to 772 of the family's 1533-position model. The record is from RNAcentral.
UGGGGAAUUGUUCGCAAUGGGCGCAAGCCUGACGACGCAACGCCGCGUGGAGGAUGAAGAUCUUCGGGUCGUAAACUCCUGUCGAGCGGGACGAACACUUUCCGGAUGAACAAUCCGGAGAGCUGACGGUACCGCUAAAGGAAGCCCCGGCUAACUACGUGCCAGCAGCCGCGGUAAUACGUAGGGUGCGAGCGUUAAUCGGAAUUACUGGGCGUAAAGCGUGCGCAGGCGGUUUUGUAAGCCAGAUGUGAAAUCCCCGGGCUUAACCUGGGAAUGGCAUUUGGGACUGCAAGGCUGGAGUUUGGCAGAGGAGACUGGAAUUCCUGGUGUAGCAGUGAAAUGCGUAGAUAUCAGGAGGAAUACCGAUGGCGAAGGCAGGUCUCUGGGCUAUAACUGACGCUCAUGCACGAAAGCGUGGGGAGCAAA